Molecule: transfer RNA, 74 nt
Filed under: Halogeometricum luteum
Lineage: Archaea; Methanobacteriati; Methanobacteriota; Halobacteria; Halobacteriales; Haloferacaceae
Description: Halogeometricum sp. S3BR5-2 tRNA-Arg
Rfam family: tRNA
About the family: Transfer RNA (tRNA) molecules are approximately 80 nucleotides in length. Their secondary structure includes four short double-helical elements and three loops (D, anti-codon, and T loops).
Source: RNAcentral
GGGCGCGUGGCCUAGCGGAUCAGGGCGAGGGGUUCCUAACCCCUCGAUCGCGGGUUCGAAUCCCGCCGCGCCCG